UACGUAGGUGGCAAGCGUUGUUCGGAAUUAUUGGGCGUAAAGGGCGCGUAGGCGGUCUUGUAAGUCAGCUGUGAAAGCCCGGGGCUCAACCCCGGAGGGUCGGCUGAUACUGCAGGACUGGAGUACGGAAGAGGUAGCUGGAAUUCCCGGUGUAGCGGUGAAAUGCGUAGAUAUCAGGAGGAAUACCUAUGGCGAAAGCAGGUAUCUGGGCCAUCACUGACGCUGAGCUGCGAAAGCUAGGGGAGCAAACAGG
RNAcentral lists this ribosomal RNA (253 nucleotides) under uncultured bacterium. RNAcentral describes it as "partial 16S ribosomal RNA". It matches the Rfam family "Bacterial small subunit ribosomal RNA", at positions 524 to 776 of the family's 1533-position model. The record is from RNAcentral.